This 494-nucleotide ribosomal RNA is filed under the name uncultured bacterium. RNAcentral describes it as "bacterial SSU rRNA". It matches the Rfam family "Bacterial small subunit ribosomal RNA", at positions 1035 to 1529 of the family's 1533-position model. The record is from RNAcentral.
CAGGUGGUGCAUGGUUGUCGUCAGCUCGUGUCGUGAGAUGUUGGGUUAAGUCCCGCAACGAGCGCAACCCCUGUCCUUAGUAGCCAGCAUUUCGGGUGGGCACUCUAGGGAGACUGCCAGGGAUAACCUGGAGGAAGGCGGGGAUGACGUCAAAUCAUCAUGCCCCUUAUGGCUUGGGCUACACACGUGCUACAAUGGCGUAAACAAAGGGAAGCGAGCCCGCGAGGGGGAGCGAAUCCCAAAAAUAACGUCCCAGUUCGGACUGUAGUCUGCAACCCGACUACACGAAGCUGGAAUCGCUAGUAAUCGCGAAUCAGAAUGUCGCGGUGAAUACGUUCCCGGGUCUUGUACACACCGCCCGUCACACCAUGGGAGUCGGGAAUGCCCGAAGCCGGUGACCCAACCGAAAGGAGGGAGCCGUCGAAGGCAGGUCUGAUAACUGGGGUGAAGUCGUAACAAGGUAGCCGUAUCGGAAGGUGCGGUUGGAUCACCUC